UUUGCGACUAUUUUUUUGCGACUGCUUGUUUGGCCGUCGUAAAAAAAAAAAAAAAAAGGCUCCAAUAUAUAUUUUUAUUUCUCUUAUUUUCUCUUACUUAUUUGCUCCAUUUCCUUGGUUCUGCCCUAGCUUGGCUCGCUCAACCUCUCUCUCUCUCUCUCUCUCUCUCUUUUGCUCACCGAUAUGAAUCUCUCUAUCCCUCUUGAUCUCAAUCUCUCUCCCUCUCUAUCUCGAUCUCUCAAUCUCUCUCCCUCUCUCGAUCUCUCAAUCUCUCAAUCUCUCUCUCACACACUAUCUCGCUCUCUUUGUAUUUGCGUACACAUUAUCUACUCUCUCUCUGCAAUUUGCGCGAUUCGUUGCAGAGAAACCCUAACUCUACCAUGGAAAAGUUCUCUCGGAGCACUCAAAUGCAGCAGAAUCAGCACCUCUGCUACGUCGAUAUCCUUCGUCCUCCUCAGGCGAAUGAGAUGGUUGGGUUGUGUCCGAGUCUGAUACUGCUAAUGAAGCUGAACGCAGUCAACCAAAAAAAGGGUGGAGAUUAAUUCCAAAUUUGAUGCUGCUAUUGGUUGGCUCUUGUGGUUAGAGAUAUUACAUGUAUUGGCAUGAGUUCAAUAAUUUUCAGUUUCAGUUAAUUUCACAUCAGGUGUGCUGCAGUUAACCUUCUUUUUAGGACUUCAUUUCCUCUAGUUAUUACAUGAAUUUACAUUAUUCUGCAGUUUGGAGUCGUCAACUGGUGAUAAUUUCUGCUUGUUGAGUGCCAUUGAAGUUACUUAAAUUGCUCUUAUGCAAAUCUCCUUGUGUGGCAACUACAGUGUUGUAGUGAACCUAUUAAUGUUGAACAGAAUUGUGGUUUUCUUUUCUUCUUCUUAUUUAUUUGCAAAUGUCUUGCUGUGUUGUCAAAACAUGCCUUUGA
This is a non-coding RNA of Camellia sinensis, 913 nucleotides long. The record is from RefSeq and is a predicted model, not a curated record. Lineage: Eukaryota; Viridiplantae; Streptophyta; Magnoliopsida; Ericales; Theaceae.